This 274-nucleotide ribosomal RNA is filed under the name uncultured bacterium. Its description in RNAcentral is "partial 16S ribosomal RNA". It matches the Rfam family "Bacterial small subunit ribosomal RNA", at positions 523 to 796 of the family's 1533-position model. The record is from RNAcentral.
AUACGGAGGGGGUUAGCGUUGUUCGGAAUUACUGGGCGUAAAGCGCACGUAGGCGGACUGGAAAGUUGGGGGUGAAAUCCCGGGGCUCAACCCCGGAACUGCCUCCAAAACUUCCAAUCUAGAGAUCGAGAGAGGUAAGUGGAAUUCCUAGUGUAGAGGUGAAAUUCGUAGAUAUUAGGAGGAACACCAGUGGCGAAGGAGGCUUACUGGCUCGAUUCUGACGCUGAGGUGCGAAAGCGUGGGGAGCAAACAGGAUUAGAAACCCUUGUAGUCC